UGAAAUCCAAAUUGCAAUAGAAUUUGUUUUCAAGUUUUUGAAUUAUAAUGUUUCAGAAUUUGGGUUGUUUAAUCACAAUUCAAUUACAUAGACAUUGAUUUCGUUACAAAUUUGAAAAAGUACAAACCUUCAUUCUUUUUUAUCAGGAUGUAAAACACAUGCAAGUAGCAUCACUGAAAAAAAUCCUAAUGUCAUAACCAAUAAGUGUGCCUAUUUUCCUCAUAUGUGUUUUGUCCUUUAUUUCUUCCCAGGUAUCUCCUCUUAAUUGAUGAUAUAUGGUCUGCAAAGACAUGGGAGAGCAUCAGAAUUUGUUUGCCAGAAGAGAAUAAUAGAGGCAGUAGAAUAAUAGUGACUUCAAGGUUUCAAGCUGUUGGUGCUACGUGCUCCCCAAAUGAUAAAAUUGACCUUCUGCAUACAGCUGAUUUUCUCACUGGUGAUGAGUCCAAGAGAUUAUUCGUUCAAGGUGUUUCUGAAUCCAAAAGCAGCAAAAAUAAUGAGAUAGUUCAGAACCAUGUCCCUGAAGAGAUUUGGAAAAUUUGUGGGGGCUUGCCUUUGGCCAUAGUCACCAUGGCUGGCCUAGUUGCCUGCAACCCAAGCAAACACAGUGAUGAUUGGAAAAAAGUCUGCAAAUCAUUAUUUCCAGAACCUGUGACUUCUCUUACUUUAGAUGGGGUUACAAGGAUACUUGACUGUUGCUACAAUGAUUUGCCUGCAGAUCUCAAGACCUGUUCAUUGUACUUGAGCAUAUUUCCAAAGGGUUGGAAAAUUAGCAGGAAGCGGUUGACCCGGCGAUGGAUAGCUGAAGGUUUUGUUAGUGAGAAACAAGGGUUGACAGAGGAGGAAGUUGCAGAGACAUAUUUUAAUCAGCUCACAAGAAGAAAGAUAAUACGUCCUGUGGAGCACGGUAGCAAUGGGAAAGUAAAAACCUUUCAAGUUCAUGACAUGGUCCUUGAAUAUAUUGUGUCCAAGUCGAAUGAAGAGAAUUUUAUUACUGUAGUAGGUGGCCACUGGAUGAUGCCAGCACCUAGCAAUAAAGUCCGUCGACUUUCAAUGCAGAGCAGUGGUUCCAAGUCAGGAAAUUCAACAAAAGGUAUGAACUUGUCUCAGGUUCGAUCACUGACCAUUUUUGGGAGCCUGAACCAAUUGCCAUUUCAUUCAUUCAAUAAUGCAAUAAUACAAGUGCUCGAUCUUGAGGGCUGGAAGGGGUUGAAAGAGAAACAUCUGAAGGACAUAUGUAACAUGCUUGUCCUGAAGUAUUUGGGCCUUCGACGGACAGAGAUUGCCAAAAUUCCCUCGAAGAUUGAAAAGCUUGAGUAUUUGGAAGCUCUUGACAUCAGAGAGACAAAUGUUAGGGAGCUUCCCAAGGCUGUAGGGCAGCUAAAACGAAUCAGUAGCAUACUUGGUGGAAAUAAAAACCCAAGGAAGGGGUUGAGGCUGUCUCAAGAAAAAAGUAAAGACCCAAGGAAAAGUAUGUUGCCACAGGAAAAAAGUAAGGAUGGAAUGAAAGCACUCCGUGUACUGUCUGGAAUUGAGAUCAUUGGCGAAUCAACAGCUGUAGCAGGCCUUCAUCAGUUGACUGGAUUAAGGAAGUUUGCCAUCUAUAAGCUUAGCAUAAAUAAGGAUGGUGACACAUUCAAAGAGUUACGCUCCUCUAUUGAGUACCUUGGCAGCUGUGGAUUGCAAACUCUGGCAAUAAAUGAUGAAGGUUCUGAUUUUAUCAACUCCUUGGACACCAUGUCUGCACCUCCAAGAUACCUUAUUGCCCUUGAGCUGUCCGGAAUGUUAGAAAGGCCCCCACAGUGGAUGAGUAAACUGCAUAUGCUGAACAAGUUAACCCUGUCGUUAACAGUUCUCCGGACUGACACUUUGGAGCUCAUCUGCGCCCUGCCGUCAUUGUUUUCUCUCACCUUUUCUCUGAAUGCAGUGAAUCUUGACGAGGACACACAGGAGAUCCUCGAGAAGAACAAAGAACAGUCUGAUGGGGAGAUAUUUGUCCCUGGUGGAUUCCCAAGUCUGAAGCUGCUCCGCUUCUUUGCCCCUCUUGUGCCAAAGCUAGGUUUCAGCGACAAUGCGAUGCCAUCGCUGGAGAUGAUUGAUAUGAGGUUUUGUGCCUUUGAAGGUUUGCUCGGCAUUGACACCCUAGAAAAUCUCAAAGAGGUGCAUCUCAGAGUUAAUGACCAAGCAGAUGAAGCAACCAAGUUCUUUGUUGAUGAUCUGAAGAAUAAUGGCCAUGGACUGAAGGUAAUUGUUGAUCAUGUCGUCACUGCUUGAAAUGGCAAGAUAUUGGUGCCGCCCAGAGCUCUUUCCAAUUCACUGACACAUGCUCUGUUGAUUUGGAGUGGGUAGUUUCUUAUUACCAAAUAUAUGAUAUUCAUGUUUGAUAAAUAAAUAAAUAAAUAGGGAUGGACAAAGUAUGCAUUCACAUCCCAUGGUAUUGUGCUCCGCUGCUGGAAUUUAUUUGGUUUUCCCCUUUAUGUUUGGAUGGUGUGCAAUUAAGGUGAAACAUUGUUCGUUCUAAUGACAUUAUGUCUUCUUACAAAGGGGACACACCUCCCUAAAGAACCCACUGUUUUCCUUUCAUCCAUGGCUCCAUUGGUGAUAUAUUCUUGUGUGGUACAUAUUAUAUAAAUCUCAGGAAGUUUUAGCACAUAUUGUGAAUCUGUGACGAAAUGUUGGUGGUCUGAAUGGACGCUUGGCUUGCCAAGUGAAACAAGAUGCAGCAGCUAGACUCGAUGCAUAUAUAAUAAGAAAACUAAUGGAAUGUACAUCAUGCCGCUCAUCGCUGAAAGAAAAACAGCAUGUCGUUUUAUUGUUUAUAUUCGUGUGAAACUAAUGCCAAAACGACAGAUGAGUUGAAGAAAAACGGUGUCUAAAAUAAGAACAGGGCAUAUGACAGGGCAGCAUUCACAGACGCAUAAAUAGGCGUUACCUGGAUUUGAUGUGGCGCGGGGCGGCGGAUUGGGAGAGGGAGUAGAGCCCGGCGGGGAGGAAUCUCAUGGUGCCGGCGACGACGACGGCACGGCGCCGCCAUAGCUGCUCCUCUCACCGGAUCACAGUCGCGGCUCUGUUAACGGGCCCACAAGGGUCAAGAUCAGACGUGGUCGGGCCGUCCCAACACUUGCGCGAGGAGCCGACCACGUCCGAU
Molecule: long non-coding RNA, 3145 nt
Filed under: Sorghum bicolor (sorghum)
Lineage: Eukaryota; Viridiplantae; Streptophyta; Magnoliopsida; Poales; Poaceae
Description: long non-coding RNA (SBIC_LNC009733)
Source: RNAcentral